AGUGAACGCUGGCGGCAGGCCUAACACAUGCAAGUCGAGCGGCAGCACAGCAGUAGCAAUACUGUGGGUGGCGAGCGGCGGACGGGUGAGGAAUACAUCGGAAUCUACCUUCUUGUGGGGGAUAACGUAGGGAAACUUACGCUAAUACCGCAUAAGACCUGAGGGUGAAAGCGGGGGACCGCAAGGCCUCGCGCGAGAAGAUGAGCCGAUGUCGGAUUAGCUAGUUGGUGAGGUAAAGGCUCACCAAGGCGACGAUCCGUAGCUGGUCUGAGAGGAUGAUCAGCCACACUGGAACUGAGACACGGUCCAGACUCCUACGGGAGGCAGCAGUGGGGAAUAUUGGACAAUGGGCGCAAGCCUGAUCCAGCCAUGCCGCGUGCGGGAAGAAGGCCUCGG
This 396-nucleotide ribosomal RNA is filed under the name uncultured bacterium. RNAcentral describes it as "bacterial SSU rRNA". It matches the Rfam family "Bacterial small subunit ribosomal RNA", at positions 30 to 420 of the family's 1533-position model. The record is from RNAcentral.